UGCAGUCGACGGUAACAGCAGAGCUUGCUCUGGCUGACAAGUGGCGGACGGGUGCGUAACGCGUGGGAAUCUACCUUGUAGUGGGGGAUAGCCCGGAGAAAUCCGGAUUAAUACCGCAUAAUCUCUACGGAGCAUAGUGGGGAAUCUUCGGACCUCACGCUAUUAGAUGAGCCCGCGUUAGAUUAGCUUGUUGGUGAGGUAAUGGCUCACCAAGGCGACGAUCUAUAGCUGGUUUGAGAGGAUGAUCAGCCACACUGGGACUGAGACACGGCCCAGACUCCUACGGGAGGCAGCAGUGGGGAAUAUUGGACAAUGGGCGCAAGCCUGAUCCAGCAAUACCGCGUGUGUGAAGAAGGCCUGAGGGUUGUAAAGCACUUUCAAUAGAGACGAAAAGCUUAGGGUUAAUAACCCUGGGUCUUGACUUAACCUAUAGAAGAAGCACCGGCUAACUCCGUGCCAGCAGCCGCGGUAAUACG
RNAcentral lists this ribosomal RNA (476 nucleotides) under uncultured bacterium. RNAcentral's name for it is "bacterial SSU rRNA". It matches the Rfam family "Bacterial small subunit ribosomal RNA", at positions 56 to 527 of the family's 1533-position model. The record is from RNAcentral.